UCCUAUUCCCUCUACUGUAUCUUCGCUUCUCUGUUCUGCCUCCUGGAGUGAACCCUGAUAUUUUCUUAGCCUAAAUUAAAUCUUAUUCUUUCCAUACUCACUUCCCGUUCGUUGUGUUGUUCAUUCAUUCACUGACACAUUCAUUUACCAGAUUUUCCACCUUUUUUUGGAGCUUUGGAUCUAAAAGGCUAUACAUUAUGGGAACUCAACAGGGGUUUGUGGAAUGCAACUGCAUAAACCAGGAAAGCCUCUCUCAGAUGAGCAUUUUCACGUCCGUAGCUGAAUUUGAUACACCAGAAAGAUGUGGGGACUGUCAUCUGGAGCAACACUGAGUGAGACUCACCAACGGAUCCCUGAUCAGUCAGCCGGGAACGAUGACAAGACCUCACAGGUACUCACUGGGAUCCCGAAUGAGAGAUCAAUCAGAUCUGAGUGAUGGCAUUAUACCUGCUAAAGAAAAAACUUAUUAAUGAUACCUGUUAAAGAUGGAUCAGGCCUUAUUCCUGACAUUUGAGCAUUACUGUGCACAAUCUUGACCCUCUCCUGAG
Molecule: long non-coding RNA, 548 nt
Organism: Mustela lutreola (European mink)
Lineage: Eukaryota; Metazoa; Chordata; Mammalia; Carnivora; Mustelidae
Exons: 5
Source: RefSeq, a predicted model, not a curated record